GUGUACCUACCUCUGUUGCUUUGGCGGGCCGCGGUCCUCCGCGGCCGCCCCCCUCCCCGGGGGGGUGGCCAGCGCCCGCCAGAGGACCAUCAAACUCCAGUCAGUAAACGAUGCAGUCUGAAAAACAUUUAAUAAACUAAAACUUUCAACAACGGAUCUCUUGGUUCUGGCAUCGAUGAAGAACGCAGCGAAAUGCGAUAAGUAAUGUGAAUUGCAGAAUUCAGUGAAUCAUCGAAUCUUUGAACGCACAUUGCGCCCUUUGGUAUUCCGAAGGGCAUGCCUGUUCGAGCGUCAUUACAACCCUCAAGCUCUGCUUGGUAUUGGGCACCGUCCUUUGCGGGCGCGCCUCAAAGACCUCGGCGGUGGCGUCUUGCCUCAAGCGUAGUAGAACAUACAUCUCGCUUCGGAGCGCAGGGCGUCGCCCGCCGGACGAACCUUCUGAACUUUUCUCAAGGUUGACCUCGGAUCAGGUAGGGAUACCCGCUGAACUUAAGCAUAU
This 499-nucleotide ribosomal RNA is filed under the name Botryosphaeria dothidea. RNAcentral's name for it is "eukaryotic LSU rRNA". The stretch from base 141 to 294 matches the Rfam family "5.8S ribosomal RNA". Lineage: Eukaryota; Fungi; Ascomycota; Dothideomycetes; Botryosphaeriales; Botryosphaeriaceae. The record is from RNAcentral.